CCUACGGGAGGCAGCAGUGGGGAAUAUUGCACAAUGGGGGACACCCUGAUGCAGCGACGCCGCGUGAGUGAAGAAGUAAUUCGUUAUGUAAAGCUCUAUCAGCAGGGAAGAACAUGACGGUCCCUUAGUAAGAAGCCCCGGCUAACUACGUGCCAGCAGCCGCGGUAAUCCGUAGGGGGCAAGCGUUAUCCGGAUUUACUGGGUGUAAAGGGAGCGUAGACGGCAGUGCAAGGCUGGAGUGAAAGGCGGGGGCGCAACCCCCGGACUGCUCUGGAAACUGUACGGCUGGAGUGCAGGAGAGGUAAGUGGAAGUCCUAGUGUAGCGGUGAAAUGCGUAGAUAUUAGGAGGAACACCAGUGGCGAAGGCGGCUUACGGGACUGUAACUGACGUUGAGGCUCGAAAGCGUGGGGAGCAAACAGGAUUAGAUACCCGAGUAGUC
RNAcentral lists this ribosomal RNA (440 nucleotides) under uncultured bacterium. Its description in RNAcentral is "partial 16S ribosomal RNA". It matches the Rfam family "Bacterial small subunit ribosomal RNA", at positions 338 to 795 of the family's 1533-position model. The record is from RNAcentral.